This 351-nucleotide small RNA is filed under the name Arabidopsis thaliana (thale cress). RNAcentral's name for it is "ATSL096130". The record is from RNAcentral. Lineage: Eukaryota; Viridiplantae; Streptophyta; Magnoliopsida; Brassicales; Brassicaceae.
CUUAAGCAUCUCUUUUUUUGGUCCAGGUAAAGAUAAAGUGUGAUCGUAGAAUCAUGGCAAGGAAGAGAGGAUGAUCUAGGAACUCGUUUGAUUUAUUUUUGUGUUUUGGUUAUUGGAACUGGUAAGGGUUGUGUUAGGAUUGUUAGUCAUUUUUGGUUUUGUUGGUUAAAUUAUUUAUUUAUUCAUAAAAUAGUAUUUUUGACGUGCGGUUUAAAUGUUGCUUUAUUGGUUGGUUUAAUUAAGUAUUUAUGGGAAUAUUUGAUUAUGUUUAAUUAAGUAUUUAUGGGAAUAUUUCAACAAGUUUCUUGUCUACUGCCUCGACAGUCCAAGAGAUUCCUCAGAUGCGUUACA